UUUUACUCCGUUUCACCAUCUUUCUCGCCCUGGGAUGAGAGCGACGCAAACAGAAAAACUGAGUAGGUUAAAAGAAAAGGGUUUAUGGAGAAGGAAGAUGGACAUAUCGGCGCCAAAUUAGGGUUUUGCUAUUAGAUGUACUUGGAUCAUUACCCGACCCGUUAUAGUUGACCCGAAUCAACUUAAAAAUAUUGAAAAAAUAAUUGGGGUGAGAGAGGCUCGAACUCUCGACCUCAGGAUUACUCAGAUAGCUAUGAGACCUACGCGCUAGCCAACUGCGCCACCACCCCGAU
This 293-nucleotide transfer RNA is filed under the name Arabidopsis thaliana (thale cress). Its description in RNAcentral is "ATSL133690". Lineage: Eukaryota; Viridiplantae; Streptophyta; Magnoliopsida; Brassicales; Brassicaceae. The record is from RNAcentral.